RNAcentral lists this ribosomal RNA (367 nucleotides) under uncultured bacterium. RNAcentral describes it as "bacterial SSU rRNA". It matches the Rfam family "Bacterial small subunit ribosomal RNA", at positions 28 to 396 of the family's 1533-position model. The record is from RNAcentral.
GAUUAACGCUAGCGGCAGGCAUAAUACAUGCAAGUUGAACGAGAUUAGUUUUAGCAAUAGAACUAGUUUAGUGGCGCACGGGUGCGUAACGCGUAUGCAACCUACCUUAAACAGGGGAAUAGCCUCUCGAAAGAGAGAUUAAUACCGCAUAAUAUAUAUUUAAUGCAUAUUAGAUAUAUUAAACCUACGGGGUUAAGUAUGGCAUGCGUGACAUUAGCUAGUUGGUGAGGUAACGGCUCACCAAGGCAACGAUGUCUAGGGGUCGUGAGAGGAUGUCCCCCCACACUGGUACUAGAGACACGGACCAGACUCCUACGGGAGGCAGCAGUAGGGAAUAUUGGUCAAUGGGGGCAACCCUGACAGCAUG